GCCUUAGUAACGGCGAGUGAAGCGGCAAUAGCUCAAAUUUGAAAGCUGGCCCCUUCGGGGUCCGCGUUGUAAUUUGUAGAGGAUGAUUCGGCGAGGGCUCCCGUCUAAGUCCCCUGGAACGGGGCGUCAUAGAGGGUGAGAAUCCCGUAUGUGAUGGGUUGCCUUAGCCAUGUGAAUCUCCUUCGACGAGUCGAGUUGUUUGGGAAUGCAGCUCUAAAUGGGAGGUAAAUUUCUUCUAAAGCUAAAUACCGGCCAGAGACCGAUAGCGCACAAGUAGAGUGAUCGAAAGAUGAAAAGCACUUUGGAAAGAGAGUUAAAAAGUACGUGAAAUUGUUGAAAGGGAAGCGCUUGCAGCCAGACUUGUCCGCAGUUGCUCAGCCGGUCUCCUGACCGGCGUACUCUUCUGCGGCCAGGCCAGCAUCAGUUCGGGCGGUCGGAUAAAGGCCCCAGGAAUGUAGCUCCUCUCGGGGAGUGUUAUAGCCUGGGGUGGAAUGCGGCCAGCCUGGACUGAGGAUCUCGCUUCGGCUAGGAUGCUGGCGUAAUGGCUGUAAGCGGCCCGUCUUGAAACACGGACC
This 575-nucleotide ribosomal RNA is filed under the name Dothiorella moneti. RNAcentral describes it as "eukaryotic LSU rRNA". It matches the Rfam family "Eukaryotic large subunit ribosomal RNA", at positions 77 to 667 of the family's 3401-position model. The record is from RNAcentral. Lineage: Eukaryota; Fungi; Ascomycota; Dothideomycetes; Botryosphaeriales; Botryosphaeriaceae.